GAUGAACGCUAGCGGCAGGCCUAACACAUGCAAGUCGAGGGAGAAGCCCUUUCGGGGGCAGAAACCGGCGCACGGGUGCGUAACGCGUAUGCAACCUACCUUUCACAGGGGGAUAGCCCGAAGAAAUUUGGAUUAAUACCCCAUAAUAUUAUUGGAUGGCAUCAUUUGAUAAUUAAAACUGCGGUGGUGAAAGAUGGGCAUGCGUCCUAUUAGCUAGUUGGAGUGGUAACGGCACCCCAAGGCUACGAUAGGUAGGGGUCCUGAGAGGGAGAUCCCCCACACUGGUACUGAGACAGGGACCAGACUCCUACGGGAGGCAGCAGUGAGGAAUAUUGAUCAAUGGUCGGAAGACUGAACCAGCCAUGCCGCGUGCAGGAAGAAUGCCUUAUGGGUUGUAAACUGCUUUUAUAUGGGAAGAAUAAGGCGUACGUGUACGUUGAUGACGGUACCAUAUGAAUAAGCAGCGGCUAACUCCGUG
RNAcentral lists this ribosomal RNA (478 nucleotides) under uncultured bacterium. RNAcentral's name for it is "partial 16S ribosomal RNA". It matches the Rfam family "Bacterial small subunit ribosomal RNA", at positions 28 to 507 of the family's 1533-position model. The record is from RNAcentral.